UACAGAGGGUGCGAGCGUUGUCCGGAAUCACUGGGCGUAAAGGGCGCGUAGGUGGCGGCCCAAGUCCAUGGUGAAAGCUCGAUGCUCAACAUCGAGUCGGCCACGGAUACUGGGUUGCUCGAGCACUGUAGGGGCAGAUGGAAUUCCGGGUGUAGCGGUGGAAUGCGUAGAGAUCCGGAAGAACACCGGUGGCGAAGGCGGUCUGCUGGGCGAGUGCUGACACUGAGCGCGACGAGCGUGGGAGCAAC
RNAcentral lists this ribosomal RNA (248 nucleotides) under uncultured bacterium. RNAcentral's name for it is "partial 16S ribosomal RNA". It matches the Rfam family "Bacterial small subunit ribosomal RNA", at positions 524 to 772 of the family's 1533-position model. The record is from RNAcentral.